UGGGGAAUAUUGCACAAUGGGCGCAAGCCUGAUGCAGCCAUGCCGCGUGUAUGAAGAAGGCCUUCGGGUUGUAAAGUACUUUCAGCGGGGAGGAAGGGAGUAAAGUUAAUACCUUUGCUCAUUGACGUUACCCGCAGAAGAAGCACCGGCUAACUCCGUGCCAGCAGCCGCGGUAAUACGGAGGGUGCAAGCGUUAAUCGGAAUUACUGGGCGUAAAGCGCACGCAGGCGGUUUGUUAAGUCAGAUGUGAAAUCCCCGGGCUCAACCUGGGAACUGCAUCUGAUACUGGCAAGCUUGAGUCUCGUAGAGGGGGGUAGAAUUCCAGGUGUAGCGGUGAAAUGCGUAGAGAUCUUGAGGAAUACCGGUGGCGAAGGCGGCCCCCAGGACGAAGACUGACGCUCAGGUGCGAAAGCGUGGGGAGCAAACAGG
This 429-nucleotide ribosomal RNA is filed under the name Chloroflexota bacterium. Its description in RNAcentral is "Chloroflexi bacterium partial 16S ribosomal RNA". It matches the Rfam family "Bacterial small subunit ribosomal RNA", at positions 355 to 776 of the family's 1533-position model. The record is from RNAcentral. Lineage: Bacteria; Bacillati; Chloroflexota.